Molecule: ribosomal RNA, 433 nt
Filed under: uncultured bacterium
Lineage: Bacteria
Description: partial 16S ribosomal RNA
Rfam family: Bacterial small subunit ribosomal RNA
Source: RNAcentral
AACGAACGCUGGCGGCAUGCUUAACACAUGCAAGUCGAACGAGACCGCCGGGCUUAGGGGCGCACGUGGGGGUACCGCGUGGGAACUUGCCCUUAGGUACGGUAUAACUCCCUGUAAGGGGUGUUAAUAACGGUGAAUGUCUUAGGGCAAAAGAUCGUUGGCUGUGGGCUGGGCGCUGGUUGGAUUGGGCGGUUGGUAGGGGAAAAGCCAACCAUGGGGACGAUGCUUGGCUGGUGGGGGAGGAUGCCCCGCCGCACUGGGACUGCGGCACGGCCCAGACUCCUACGGAGGGCAGCAGAGGAGAAUAUUGGACGAUGGGCGCAGGCGUAGUCCAGCAGUGCCGCGUGAGUGAUGAAGGCCUUAGGGUUGUAAAGCUCUUUUAGCCGAGAUGAUAGUGACGGUACCGGGAGAAGAAGCACCGGCUAACUACGUG